AAAAUGUAAAAACCGAAAUAAGCAACAAAAACGUAAACAGCAGUCAUUGUGAGAAAGAUGUAAAAACACUUAUGUUACAUUAUUUAUCCAAGAUGGUACUAAAAAAUGCACAUAAUUAUACUGCAAUAGAGUUAGUAGAUAUAAUUAGAUAUUUUGGAGCAUUCACUUAUAUAAAUAAAGAACUUUUUAAUUUUGUUUUCAGUUUACCAUUUUUUAAAAAUUUAAAUGAAAACACAUUAAAUUAUUAUAAAAAAAAUAUAUAUUUUAAUCAUUCAUAUUAUGCUUAUACUAAACAUCAUAGUGGUAUUAUUACUCCUGUUGAAAUUACUUUGUGUAAAUUAUACCAAGCCUAUCUUUCCUAUAACAUGUACAAUAAUGUAUAUAGUCAUAAUGUUAAUAACUCAAACAAUACUAUUUCCAAUACAAAUAAUAUAUUAAAACAAAUUGAAAAAAAAAAAUAAUAAUAUAAAAACAUUCAAAUUUAAUGAAAAUAUAUUACAACUACUUAAAAAAAACUUAUUUAUAUAAUUUGAGUUUAUCUACUUAUAGUUCUUCUACACUACAUUAUGAAAUUUCAGAUAUAUUACAAAAAAAUUUCAACAUACCUUGUCAUAUUGAAUAUAAAACAAAAAAUGGUAUAUCCAUAGAUAUAGCUAUAUUAUAUGAAGAUAUAAAAAAAAUAAAUAACAAUAUACCUUAUUUUUCAAAUAUAGCGAUCGAAGUUAAUGGUCCUUUUCAUUAUAAAACUAAGUCACUGAGUGAAGGAAGUCUUCCUUAUCUUAAUACCAAAACAUUGUUAAAAAAAAGAUUGUUGGAACAUGACAAUUGGAUGGUUAUUUCAUUUCCGUUUUGGGAAUUUAAGCCAUGGUAUGUAUAAACACAACAAAAUGCGCACAUACAUAUGUUUAUAUAUAUAUAUAUAUACAUGUUUGCAAUUACUUACAAGUACAACUCUAACUUUUUUUCUUUUUAUUUACAGGUAUAGUAAAACAAGAAAGGAAAAUUAUAUUUUGAAAAUGUUACCUACUCAUCUUAAAAAUUGUUUUAAUGAAAUAAAAACUGCUUAAUAAGUAAAUUAUUUGAAGUU
This 1087-nucleotide long non-coding RNA is filed under the name Piliocolobus tephrosceles (Ugandan red Colobus). RNAcentral's name for it is "lncRNA (ENSPTEG00000021358.1)". The record is from RNAcentral. Lineage: Eukaryota; Metazoa; Chordata; Mammalia; Primates; Cercopithecidae.